This 212-nucleotide small RNA is filed under the name Hominimerdicola alba 7 = DSM 20455. RNAcentral describes it as "Ruminococcus albus 7 = DSM 20455 6S RNA". Lineage: Bacteria; Bacillati; Bacillota; Clostridia; Eubacteriales; Oscillospiraceae. The record is from RNAcentral.
AGAUUGCUACCUUGUUCGACCAAGCAUAGCUUUUUAAAUCCAACACUUAUUAAAAGGGAUUCGCACUCUUUCCGAAGAUUGAAGACCUCCCGCCCGAACCGCUUAUGCCGUUCGGUCUACGGACGAAGGGAUCAUGAGACUGAAAGGUCGUUUUACCCACCCUGCACAUUGAUGCGGGUUUACAUUCUAUGCGACGGCAAGGCGGCAAUUUA